This 292-nucleotide ribosomal RNA is filed under the name uncultured bacterium. Its description in RNAcentral is "partial 16S ribosomal RNA". It matches the Rfam family "Bacterial small subunit ribosomal RNA", at positions 505 to 796 of the family's 1533-position model. The record is from RNAcentral.
GUGUCAGCAGCCGCGGUAAUACAGAGGUCCCAAGCGUUGUUCGGAUUUACUGGGCGUAAAGGGAGCGUAGGUGGCAUUCUAAGUCUGAUGUGAAAGCUCUGAGCUUAACUCAGAAAUGGCAUUAGAAACUAGUUUGCUUGAGGAUUGGAGGGGAGAUUGGAAUUCUUGGUGUAGCAGUGAAAUGCGUAGAUAUCAAGAGGAACACCAGUGGCGAAGGCGAAUCUCUGGACAAUUCCUGACACUGAUGCUCGAAAGCUAGGGGAGCAAACGGGAUUAGAUACCCCGGUAGUCC